Molecule: long non-coding RNA, 697 nt
Organism: Mytilus californianus (California mussel)
Lineage: Eukaryota; Metazoa; Mollusca; Bivalvia; Mytilida; Mytilidae
Exons: 4
Source: RefSeq, a predicted model, not a curated record
ACGACUGUAAAGAUGUCGUUAAAAAUGGACACAAUGGAAGUGGUUUGUAUGACCUUAGUUUACCAAAUGGUAAGCAACUUACAGCUUAUUGUGACCUACAAAAAGAUGGAGGUGGAUGGAUUGUUAUACAGAGGCGGAUUGAUGGUAAACAGAGCUAUAAUCAGAAUUGGACUCAAUAUAAAUCAGGGUUUGGAAAUCCUUUACAUGAAUUCUGGAUAGGCAAUGAAAACCUUCAUGCUUUAACGGAUGGGAAAGAUGUAAUUUUACACAUCCAGAUGACGACAUGGGAAGGGAAAAACUAUACGGCGGUUUAUAGUGGUUUUCAUGUAGGGAACGAGCAAGAGAAGUACAAAUUGAAUAUACAGCAAAUGAUUUCUGGUGAUGCAGGUGAUUCAUUUAAAUAUCCAUCAUCUUAUAUGUUAAGACACAAUAACAUGGCUUUUAGUACACCAGAUCGUGACAAUGAUGUCAGCUUUCAGAACUGUGCCCAGUUACUCCAGUCUGGUUGGUGGUUUAACAUGUGUUACAGUUCGAAUUUAAAUGGGUUAUAUUUGAGUGGACCAUAUGGUCACAGAUAUUAUGGUGAAUAUUUUGGACAGCCAACAACAGAAGGCACAGGAAUAGAGUGGUAUCCCCUGAAACAGUACUCACUGAAAUAUGCUGAAAUGAAAAUCAGAGCAAAACAAAUUUUAUUUCU